This 24-nucleotide small RNA is filed under the name Arabidopsis thaliana (thale cress). RNAcentral describes it as "ATSL084960". The record is from RNAcentral. Lineage: Eukaryota; Viridiplantae; Streptophyta; Magnoliopsida; Brassicales; Brassicaceae.
UUUGUUUGAUGAGUUUCUGAAUGU